This 525-nucleotide ribosomal RNA is filed under the name uncultured bacterium. RNAcentral's name for it is "bacterial SSU rRNA". It matches the Rfam family "Bacterial small subunit ribosomal RNA", at positions 984 to 1509 of the family's 1533-position model. The record is from RNAcentral.
ACAUCCAGCGAACUUGGCAGAGGAUGCCUUGGUGCCUUCGGGAACGCUGAGACAGGUGCUGCAUGGCUGUCGUCAGCUCGUGUUGUGAAAUGUUGGGUUAAGUCCCGNAACGAGCGCAACCCUUAUCCUUUGUUGCCAGCGAUUCGGUCGGGAACUCAAAGGAGACUGCCGGUGAUAACCGGAGGAAGGUGGGGAUGACGUCAAGUCAUCAUGGCCCUUACGAGUAGGGCUACACACGUGCUACAAUGGCGCAUACAAAGAGAAGCGACCUCGCGAGAGCAAGCGGACCUCAUAAAGUGCGUCGUAGUCCGGAUCGGAGUCUGCAACUCGACUCCGUGAAGUCGGAAUCGCUAGUAAUCGUGGAUCAGAAUGCCACGGUGAAUACGUUCCCGGGCCUUGUACACACCGCCCGUCACACCAUGGGAGUGGGUUGCAAAAGAAGUAGGUAGCUUAACCUUCGGGAGGGCGCUUACCACUUUGUGAUUCAUGACUGGGGUGAAGUCGUAACAAGGUAGGCGUAGCGAG